Molecule: ribosomal RNA, 428 nt
Filed under: uncultured bacterium
Lineage: Bacteria
Description: bacterial SSU rRNA
Rfam family: Bacterial small subunit ribosomal RNA
Source: RNAcentral
AAUCAACGCUGGCGGCGUGCCUAACACAUGCAAGUCGAACGCGAAAGCCCGCAAGGGUGAGUAGAGUGGCGCACGGGUGAGUAACACGUGGACAACCUGCCUUCGAGUGGGGAAUAACCUUCCGAAAGGAGGGCUAAUACCGCAUAACACCUCGGGACACAAGUUCUGGGGUUGAAAAGAGCAAUUUGCUCGAAGAGGGGUCCGCGCCUGAUUAGCUAGUUGGUGAGGUAACGGCUCACCAAGGCUUCGAUCAGUAGCCGUCCUGAGAGGGAGCACGGCCACACUGGAACUGAGACACGGUCCAGACUCCUACGGGAGGCAGCAGUGGGGAAUUUUGGCAAUGGGCGAAAGCCUGACCAAGCAACGCCGCGUGGGUGAUGAAGUAUCUUGGUACGUAAAACCCUUUCGGCAGGGACGAACCUAAUGAC